GACGAACGCUGGCGGCGUGCUUAACACAUGCAAGUCGAACGGAAAGGCCCUGCUUUUGUGGGGUGCUCGAGUGGCGAACGGGUGAGUAACACGUGAGUAACCUGCCCUUGACUUUGGGAUAACUUCAGGAAACUGGGGCUAAUACCGGAUAGGAGCUCCUGCUGCAUGGUGGGGGUUGGAAAGUUUCGGCGGUUGGGGAUGGACUCGCGGCUUAUCAGCUUGGUGGUGGGGUAGUGGCUUACCAAGGCUUUGACGGGUAGCCGGCCUGAGAGGGUGACCGGCCACAUUGGGACUGAGAUACGGCCCAGACUCCUACGGGAGGCAGCAGUGGGAAAUAUUGCACAAUGGGCGGAAGCCUGAUGCAGCAACGCCGCGUGCGGGAUGACGGCCUUCGGGUUGUAAACCGCUUUCGCCUGUGACGAAGCGUGAGUGACGGUAAUGGGUAAAGAAGCACCGGCUAACUACGUG
This 468-nucleotide ribosomal RNA is filed under the name uncultured bacterium. RNAcentral's name for it is "partial 16S ribosomal RNA". It matches the Rfam family "Bacterial small subunit ribosomal RNA", at positions 28 to 507 of the family's 1533-position model. The record is from RNAcentral.